RNAcentral lists this non-coding RNA (91 nucleotides) under Saccharibacillus sacchari. RNAcentral's name for it is "c-di-GMP sequence". It matches the Rfam family "c-di-GMP-I riboswitch aptamer". From Rfam's summary of the family: GEMM was predicted in a large-scale screen for bacterial structured RNA regulatory elements. Genes associated with GEMM are involved in a diverse array of functions, including chemotaxis regulation, signal transduction, secretion and chitin. RNAcentral also lists the same sequence under 1 other name. The record is from RNAcentral. Lineage: Bacteria; Bacillati; Bacillota; Bacilli; Caryophanales; Paenibacillaceae.
CCUUGAGAAACGCAAACCAAGCGAAAGCUUGGGACGCAAAGUCCGGAGUCUACAGUGCAUCUUCCCGCACAAUGACCGUCCGACCGCCACG